AACGAACGCUGGCGGCAUGCCUAACACAUGCAAGUCGAACGGGAUCCUAGCUUGCUAGGUGAGAGUGGCGGACGGGUGAGUAACACGUGGGAAUCUGCCUUUUGGUUCGGGAUAACCGCGGGAAACUGCGGCUAAUACCGAAUGCCCUCGAGAGAGGAAAGAUUUAUCGCCAGAAGAGGAGCCCGCGUCCGAUUAGGUAGUUGGUGGGGUAAAGGCCUACCAAGCCGACGAUCGGUAGCUGGUCUGAGAGGAUGAUCAGCCACACUGGGACUGAGAUACGGCCCAGACUCCUACGGGAGGCAGCAGUGGGAAUAUUGGACAAUGGGGGCAACCCUGAUCCAGCAAUGCCGCGUGAGUGAUGAAGGCCUUAGGGUUGUAAAGCUCUUUUGCCAGGGAAGAUGAUGACUGUACCUGGAGAAUAAGCCCCGGCUAACUUCGUGCCAGCAGCCGCGGU
RNAcentral lists this ribosomal RNA (454 nucleotides) under uncultured bacterium. RNAcentral's name for it is "bacterial SSU rRNA". It matches the Rfam family "Bacterial small subunit ribosomal RNA", at positions 29 to 521 of the family's 1533-position model. The record is from RNAcentral.